AUGGCCCCUUCAAUUGACAACGACGCAGUCCUGGGUGAGACUUUUCUCCCCGGACAGAUCUUCGUAUUCGGCGGCUUCGCACUGCGGGCCAACUCACUUGGCCAUCUGGAGCAGAUCGAAAGCUACGUCCCUGGCCGUCAGGUCAGGUUUGGAAGCCUAAACUUCACAGCCGAUAUCCGCGGGGACUUGAUCUUCGAUGGGUCUGAGCCACAGCCGAGCAUGCCGCGUUGUCACAAUGGGCACGACCUAACUCUGCCGCCGGACAGCACCCUAGAGGCCGCACACGAAUCCCCUCCGACCCAUAGUCCGGAGCCGAUCGCUCAGAUCGAGGACGGAUGGCUGGACACCGCCUCGGGAGCUGUAACUUUUACGGUGAUGGAGCCGAACGCUUACCUUGUCCCGCAUAAAGCUCAUGACUCCGAGGUGCCGGACUCUCUGCCGGACUCCGAACCUCCUGCGCCCCUGCCAGUCGAAUCCGAUUGGGCGCCGAUCAUGGAAUUCACCGCCGCGGACACCUUUCAGCACUCACCCUUCGGCGAUAUAUUAAAUUCGCUGAAGCAUCUCUCACUAUCUGGAGAGCCCUGGCCGAACUACGGCCAGGAUUGUCGGGACGCGGACAAUGAAGAAAUUCAGAGCCCACCCACCACCCACUUCGUAGCCACCGUCGACGAUCUAACCGACGUGCUAAACUACGACUCCGAAGACAUCAACGGUAUGGACGACGAUGCCGGAGACGAUCAAGAACCAGCGCCUGCAGGGUACUGGAAGGCCACCUCGUCACAUGACAUACAUAUGGUGGACACCCCAAAGGGAAGUGAUACCGAGGAACAACGGGACGCGGCAGAGGAUAAUCCCACUGAUAAACAACCAAAACGGCGACGUAGACGCCGCCCUAAGUCCCGCCUCGAUCAAAGCAACAUUCCUAACGACCCAGCGAUAGAGCAGGGCAAACCAGCGGACGACGAACAUAAAACCAAGCAACCAUCCGGACAGGACGAACCGGAUAAUCAACCCCUUCACGGAGCAAUGAACAGUCCGGACACACCACCGGAGCAUAAGAACCUUCACAAAAGACUCGUCGCCACUGCAAGAAGUUUGAAGAAGGAAAAACGGAAGCUCAAAACAGCGGAAGACAUACUCAGAAUGAAGUGGAGCAAAAUACUCAAGACCGCAGACAAAUAUGGCAAUGGCCAUCAAACAAAGAGCUACCCGAAGCGCAAGCUGCUGCCAGAAUUUGACGAGGAAGCCAUAGAGCCCUCACAGUCAAAAAAUAAAGAGGCCGCCUGGCCAGAUAGACGGCCAGAUGACAGGCCAAAAGAGACAAGCGGCACCGCACACAAGCCGACUUAUGAUCCUGGGAAAACGGACGGCCCAACUAGGUCCAUCUACGGGCCAAAAAGGAGGGCCCCAGGAAGUAACACAACACGACAAGUGUUCGAAGACAGCGGCACACCCAAAUACAGGGGCGCCGCACACCCGCUAUGUUUUACUGACGAGGUGCUGGAUCAUGAAUUUCCAGCAGGGUUCAAACCCAUAAACAUAGAGGCAUACGACGGCACAACAGACCCAGGAGUCUGGAUAGAAGAUUACAUACUACACAUACACAUGGCUAGAGGAGACGAUCUCCACGCCAUAAAAUACCUACCCCUCAAGCUCAAAGGGCCAGCUCGGCAUUGGCUCAAAAGCCUCCCAGAAAACACUGUUGGAAGUUGGGAAGAGCUUGAGGACGCGUUUAGAGCAAAUUUUCAAGGGACUUAUGUCCGCCCUGCGGAUGCAGACAAUCUGAGUCAUAUAACCCAACAGCCCGGAGAGUCAGCGCGCAAAUUCUGGAACAAGUUCCUUACCAAAAAGAACCAAAUAGUCGACUGUCCGGACGCGGAAGCCUUAGCAGCUUUUAAACACGACGUCCGAGACGAAUGGCUCGCCAGACACCUCGGCCAAGAGAAGCCAAGAACAAUGGCCGCGCUAACAAGCCUCAUGACGCGCUUUUGCGCAGGAGAAGACAGCUGGCUAGCAAGAUGCAGCACCAGCGACCCGAGUACAUCCGAGAUCUGA
RNAcentral lists this ribosomal RNA (2055 nucleotides) under Triticum aestivum (bread wheat). RNAcentral describes it as "partial small subunit ribosomal RNA". Lineage: Eukaryota; Viridiplantae; Streptophyta; Magnoliopsida; Poales; Poaceae. The record is from RNAcentral.